AAAGACAUUGGACAUA
This 16-nucleotide small RNA is filed under the name Arabidopsis thaliana (thale cress). RNAcentral's name for it is "ATSL141470". The record is from RNAcentral. Lineage: Eukaryota; Viridiplantae; Streptophyta; Magnoliopsida; Brassicales; Brassicaceae.